This is a non-coding RNA of Ictidomys tridecemlineatus (thirteen-lined ground squirrel), 71 nucleotides long. Lineage: Eukaryota; Metazoa; Chordata; Mammalia; Rodentia; Sciuridae. The record is from Rfam.
GGAGUUGUGGCUCAGUGGUUGAGCACUUGCCUUGAAAGUGUGAGGCACUGGGUUCAAUCCUAGCACCUCAU